Molecule: ribosomal RNA, 648 nt
Filed under: uncultured bacterium
Lineage: Bacteria
Description: bacterial SSU rRNA
Rfam family: Bacterial small subunit ribosomal RNA
Source: RNAcentral
UGCAGUCGAGGGGCAGCACGUCUUCGGAUGGUGGCGACCGGCGCACGGGUGCGUAACGCGUAUGCAACCUACCUCUUACAGUGGGAUAGCCCAGAGAAAUUUGGAUUAAUACCGCAUAGUAUGCAAGACCAGCAUUGAUAUUGUAUUAAACAUUUAUGGGUAAGAGAUGGGCAUGCGUUCUAUUAGCUAGAUGGAGUGGUAACGGCACCCCAUGGCUACGAUAGAUAGGGGCCCUGAGAGGGGGAUCCCCCACACUGGUACUGAGACACGGACCAGACUCCUACGGGAGGCAGCAGUGAGGAAUAUUGGACAAUGGGCGAGAGCCUGAUCCAGCCAUGCCGCGUGCAGGAAGACGGCCCUAUGGGUUGUAAACUGCUUUUGUACGGGAAGAAACGCCCCCUCGUGAGGGGGCUUGACGGUACCGUAAGAAUAAGGAUCGGCUAACUCCGUGCCAGCAGCCGCGGUAAUACGGAGGAUCCAAGCGUUAUCCGGAAUCAUUGGGUUUAAAGGGUCCGUAUGUGGACCGUUAAGUCAGAGGUGAAAUCCUGCAGCUCAACUGUAGAAUCGCCUUUGAUACUGGCGGUCUUGAAUCAUUGUGAAGUGGUUAGAAUAUGUAGUGUAGCGGUGAAAUGCAUAGAUAUUACAUAG